UACGAAGGGGGCUAGCGUUGUUCGGAUUUACUGGGCGUAAAGCGCGUGUAGGCGGGCCGUUAAGUUGGGGGUGAAAUCCCGGAGCUCAACUCCGGAACUGCCUCCAAAACUGGCGGCCUGGAGCAGAGGAGAGGCGAGCGGAAUUCCGAGUGUAGAGGUGAAAUUCGUAGAUAUUCGGAGGAACACCAGUGGCGAAGGCGGCUCGCUGGACUCUUGCUGACGCUGAGACGCGAAAGCGUGGGGAGCAAACAGG
Molecule: ribosomal RNA, 253 nt
Filed under: uncultured bacterium
Lineage: Bacteria
Description: partial 16S ribosomal RNA
Rfam family: Bacterial small subunit ribosomal RNA
Source: RNAcentral